This 1078-nucleotide ribosomal RNA is filed under the name uncultured bacterium. Its description in RNAcentral is "bacterial SSU rRNA". It matches the Rfam family "Bacterial small subunit ribosomal RNA", at positions 186 to 1270 of the family's 1533-position model. The record is from RNAcentral.
GGCAUCUCAAUCUGAUUAAAGAAAUUCGGAAACAGAUAGGCUCGCGUGACAUUAGCUAGAUGGCGGGGUAACGGUCCACCAUGGCGACGAUGUCUAGGGGUUCUGAGAGGAAGGUCCCCCACACUGGAACUGAGACACGGUCCAGACUCCUACGGGAGGCAGCAGUGAGGAAUAUUGGUCAAUGGUCUGACGACUGAACCAGCCAUGCCGCGUGAAGGUGACGGCCCUAUGGGUCUUAAACUUCUUUUGUAAGGGAGCAAUAAGGUGCACGUGUGCAUCGAUGAGAGUACCUUACGAAUAAGCAUCGGCUAACUCCGUGCCAGCAGCCGCGGUAAUACGGGGGAUGCAAGCGUUAUCCGGAUUUAUUGGGUUUAAAGGGUGCGUAGGCGGUCUGUUAAGUCAGCGGUGAAAUUUAGGGGCUCAACCUCUACCGUGCCGUUGAUACUGGCAGGCUGGAAUGCGGAUGCCGUGGGAGGAAUGUGUGGUGUAGCGGUGAAAUGCAUAGAUAUCACACAGAACACCGAUUGCGAAGGCAUCUCACGAAUCCGCGAUUGACGCUGAUGCACGAAAGCGUGGGGAUCAAACAGGAUUAGAUACCCUGGUAGUCCACGCUGUAAACGAUGAUGACUAACCGUCGGCGAUACACAGUCGGUGGCCAAGCGAAAGCGAUAAGUCAUCCACCUGGGGAGUACGACCGCAAGGUUGAAACUCAAAGGAAUUGACGGGGGCCCGCACAAGCGGAGGAACAUGUGGUUUAAUUCGAUGAUACGCGAGGAACCUUACCCGGGCUCGAACGGCAGAUGAAUUGAGUAGAGAUAUUCAAGUCCUUCGGGACAUCUGUCGAGGUGCUGCAUGGUUGUCGUCAGCUCGUGCUGUGAAGUGUCGGCUUAAGUGCCAUAACGAGCGCAACCCUUGCCGUUAGUUGCCAUCAGGUAAAGCUGGGGACUCUAGCGGGACUGCCACCGCAAGGUGUGAGGAAGGGGGGGAUGACGUCAAAUCAGCACGGCCCUUACGUCCGGGGCGACACACGUGUUACAAUGGUGGGUACAGAGGGAAGCUACCUGGCGACAGGAUGCAG